This is a non-coding RNA of Durio zibethinus, 4458 nucleotides long. The record is from RefSeq and is a predicted model, not a curated record. NCBI's taxonomy places the organism in Eukaryota, Viridiplantae, Streptophyta, Magnoliopsida, Malvales, Malvaceae.
ACUAUUUUUCACUUAAAAAAUUGUGAGUAAAAUCCCGGUUUUGCCCCCCACCCCCGCCUCAAAUACGUUGUUCUCCCGAUUCUUACCCUAUCAACCCCAUCUUCGCCGUCGGAUACCAAAUUUACAGGUGUUUUGAUUUGAUGGCGGAUCGAAGCUCAACUGCUUCAAAGCCUAUAUGGAUGAAACAGGCGGAGGAGGCCAAACUGAAAAGUGAGGCUGAAAAAGCUGCUGCUGCUAAAGCAGCUUUCGAAGCCACAUUUAAGGAUGUCGAUAAGAACCAUAACAAGGAUGUGGUGGCUGCUUCAUCGGAUAGUGAGUCUGAGGACACCAGUGACUUGGCGGACAAGCCAAUUGGUCCUGUGGAUCCUGCCAAAUGCAUGGCUGCGGGACCAGGAAUAGCGGGUGGCACUGCCUGUGCAGCCUCCACGUUUAUGGUGGUAACAAAGGAUGCAGAUGGGAGGAAAGUACAGAGUGGGGGUGCACAGAUUAAGGUGAAGGUUUCGCCAGGUGUGGGUGUUGGGGGGUCGGAACAGGAGGGCAUUGUAAAGGACAUGGGAGAUGGGACUUACACGGUGACUUAUGUGGUGCCUAAGAGAGGGAACUAUAUGGUUAACAUUGAGUGCAAUGGGAAACCCAUCAUGGGUAGCCCUUUCCCGGUGUUCUUUAGUGCAGGUUCUUCUACUGGAGGACUACUAGGGGUGGCUCCUGCAUCCACAUAUCCAAAUCUAGUAAACCAGACCAUGCCCAACAUGCCAAACUACACAGGAUCUGUUUCUGGAGCUUUCCCUGGCUUAUUGGGAAUGAUCCCAGGCAUUGUUUCCGGUGCUUCGGGUGGUGCUAUUUUACCAGGAAUGGGGGCAUCUCUUGGGGAAGUUUGUCGAGAAUACCUCAAUGGCCGUUGUGCUAAAACUGAUUGCAAAUUGAACCAUCCUCCUCACAAUUUGCUGAUGACUGCUUUGGCUGCAACAACCAGCAUGGGUACUCUCAGUCAGGUUCCUAUGGCACCUUCUGCUGCUGCGAUGGCUGCAGCUCAGGCUAUUGUUGCUGCUCAGGCCCUUCAAGCUCAUGCUGCUCAAGUGCAAGCACAAGCUCAGUCAACCAAAGAUUCAGCUGAUUCUCCUGACAAAGCUGGGAAGGCUGAUGCUUUGAAAAAAACCCUACAAGUUAGCAAUCUUAGCCCGCUUCUCACUGCAGAGCAGUUGAAGCAGCUUUUUAGCUUCUGUGGUACAGUUGUUGAGUGUACAAUCACUGAUUCAAAGCAUUUUGCUUACAUAGAAUAUUCAAAACCUGAGGAAGCAACAGCUGCUUUGGCAUUGAACAAUAUGGAUAUUGGUGGUCGACCAUUAAAUGUGGAGAUGGCCAAAGCGCUUCCUCAGAAACCAGCUAUUUCAUCAUUGACUUCUUCAUCUCUGCCUAUGAUGAUGCAGCAAGCUGUUGCCAUGCAACAGAUGCAAUUUCAACAGGCUUUGCUUAUGCAACAAACCUUGACUGCUCAGCAGGCAGCUAACCGAGCUGCAAGCAUGAAGUCUGCAACAGAGUUAGCCGCAGCAAGAGCUGCAGAAAUAAGUAAGAAGCUGAAAGCUGAUGGACUUGUUACCGAAGAGAAGGAAACUAACAGUAAAUCUAGGUCACCAUCAACUCCUCGUGCAAGGUCAAGAUCCAAAUCAAAAUCACCCAUUAGUUAUCGGAGAAGAUCAAGAUCAAAGUCUAGGUCACCUAUCAGUUAUCGGCGAAGGUCAAGGUCCAAGUCAAGGUCACCAAUAAGUUAUAGGCGAAGAAGGAGGUCUCGCUCUUAUUCACCUCUGCCUCGUUUCCGGCGAGAGCGUAGGUCCAGGUCACCUGUGCGAUCUCAUCAUCGUUCAAGGUAUGAUAGUGAACGGCGUUCAUAUAGAGAUAGGGAUGACAGUGACAGGAGUAGGAGACGAGAUCUGGAGAGAUCACGCGAUCAUCAUUCAUCUAUUUCAAGGAGAAAUAGGAGUAGGAGUGCUAGUCCUCGAACAAGAAAAUCACCUGUAGAUUCAGACUCCCCAAAACAUAGCAGAGAAAGUUCACCAAAGGUAAGGAAAUCAUCCCAUCCUGGUUCAAGAUCACCAAGGCAUCAUAGAAGAAGUAGGUCAUCCCCAAAGAAUGGUGAUGAAAGAAAAUUGAAACACAGAAAACACUCUAGGUCAAAAUCUGUUGAUUCUGAUAACAUAAAGGAUGAAAUCCCAGAUGAAAAAUCAAAGCAACGUGGCAGAAGGCGACCCAGGUCAUUAUCUUCAGAAGGUAAGGAUCAAGUAAGAAGCAGAUCUUCUGCAAGUUCAGAUGAAAACAAAUCAAAACAUAGAAGGCAGUCCAGAUCAGUUUCUGUGGAAGGCAAGGUUCACUCCAACAGUAAAAUUGAUGAAAGGAGAAAAGAUGACUCAAGACAUAGUGAUAGAAGGCGGUCCCGGUCAGGAUCUGCCGAAGGUAGGCAUUACACCAAAGAGAAGAGUGAUAGAAGUAGAGAUAAGAAGUCUAAGCAUCGAGAUAGAAGGCGGUCAAGGUCAAGAUCUGCUGAUGUUAAGCAUCACAGAGGAAGCAAGCUGUCCCCCAGAAAUUCAGAUGAAAAUAGAUCAAAACUCCAAUGGCGCUCCAGGUCAAAGUCUACUGAUGGCAAGUAUCGUUCCACUGAUAAAAUAGAUGACAGAUCAAAACGUCGUGACAAAAAGCAUUUAUUAUCUUCCGAAGGUAGGCCUCCUAGAGGAAGCAGAUCUUCUCCAAGAAGUUCUGAAGACAACGAUUCAAGACACAGAAGGCGUUCUAGGUCAAAGUCAACUGAAGGUAAGUGUUAUUUGGAUCAUGACAAUAAAAGUUCACCACAUUUUGGCCAAAAAAUAGGAAAGACUGGAGAUGAUAGUGGGCUGCUUACUUCCAUUGUGAAUGAUUUAAAAAAUACAGGGGAUGAUGGAAUGUUGGUUUCAAAAGAGGAGGCUUAUGACUCCAAAGUUUCAAUGAAUGGUGAUCAGGAAUUGAAGAGCAAAUACUUAUCAAAGUUUGGCAGUGAUGAAGGACUCUCACCAAAUAGCGGAUUGGAUGCAGAUGAACAGAAAAAACCUGAAAGAUCAAAUAGUAAGAAGUGGCUUGACAGUAAUGGAUCAGAUCAUUCCAUUUCUCCUCAGCAGAAAUGAGCUGUGGGCUUUAUGUGGAACUGGACCUUGGGGGAUUUUUGCGACCAAAAGCUGUUCCAAGCUGUCUGACUUCUGAGUCUCCAAUUUAAGCUUGGUUCAGUUCAAGCUUGUUCGGAUAUAAACAACUUAUUUAGAGUUUAAUGAGCUUCUGGCUCCUAAAUGAACAGCAGUUCACUUAAGAGAUUGCUUAGUGUUUCUUUUGGUGUUUGGAUUUUUCAGCCGUCUAUUGGUUCUUCAUAAAUGUAUGCCCUUUGUGCUCUUUUAUCCUUUGCAGGCAUGUGGAACAGAUUGGAAUUGAAGUCUCUGAGCUGACAUUAACAAUGGUUAAAGUAUUUCAAGCCAUGUUCUGCUUUCUACUGCAAUCAACCAUGCAAUGUUUGUAGCAAGCUUCUUUUACUACUUGAUGUUAUGUACUUGGUCUUCCUCUUGGAGCUGUCAGUGAUCAGUUUGGAGGGUUGAUUUUUACUUGAUCUAUGUGAAGGUAUGCAGUCGGUUUGUAGCAGAGAGCUUAUGCUAUAAAUUUUCUGUUAACAUUUUUGAAAUUUCUUUAGUGUUGAUUGCUAUAAAUGUGGAUGAAUGCAUUUCUCUGCUGCUGUCUGCAAUACUUUAUAACUUUUCUCCAAUGUAUUAUGAAGCUGGUUCUUUACUCUUGUUCCAUCUUUUUCACUUGCCCCGUAUUGUUUUCUUUUUCUUUUUUUUUUUCUAUUUGUUUUUCCCCUUUUCCAAGGAAAGUUCUUGGACAAAGCUACUUUAAGGUCCUGCAUAACCAGAUAUCGCCAGGAUGAAUAGCGUCUCUAUUUGAGCCCCAUAGCUGAUUGGUUGAUCACUUAACUUAAUUUCAUGGUUUUCACAGGUAAUCUUCCAUGACACUGCUUGGCUGAGUUCUGUUUAUGGUAGUAAUUAGUAAGUUAGAUUUGCUUGCAUUUGUGCCCUAGAUGUUAAAUCUUGGGGUAUAGUGACUUGAUUCUGGUUGAUCACCAAAAUUCUGUUGAUCAACAGAAGCAAUUGGAAACCUUUAAAUUCUGCUUUGUCACAUGGUUCACUCCUGGAAAACUUCAUCUAAAGAUUUUCAGGUUUUCCCAUUUUGGAAUUUUAGACAUUAUUUGGUCUUUUCAUUGGGGCUAGGUUGGAGUCAAGAGUGAAUUUUGUUUUAAUCAUUUGGAAUUGGUAAGCAGUUCAUUAUGUGUCAACUUUGAAGACUAGAUGCAUUUGUUCUAUUAUUGAUUGCAUAUGCAUUUGCACUAGAGUAGAACUGUAACAUUGUGAUGUUAGUGUCUAGAACUUACUUAAUUUUUUUUCCUCUUCCAUC